CACGUGGGUGGCGAGCGUUAUUCGGAUUUACUGGGCGUAAAGGGUCCGCAGGGGGCCUGCCACGCCUGCCGUGAAAUUCCAAGGCUCAACCUUGGACCUGCGGCGGGUACGGGCGGGCUAGAGUACAAGAAGGGCAGACGGAAUUCCAGGUGUAGCGGUGGAAUGCGUAGAUAUCUGGAAGAACACCGAUGGCGAAGGCGGUCUGCUGGCUUGUAACUGACCCUCAGGGACGAGAGCGUGGGUAGCAAACAGGAUUAGAUACCCUGGUAGUCCACGCCGUAAACGUUGUGUGCCAGAUGUGGGUGGGUUCGGCCCCAUCCGUGUCCAAGCUAACGCGGUAAGCACACCGCCUGGGGACUACGGCCGCAAGGCUAAA
Molecule: ribosomal RNA, 376 nt
Filed under: uncultured bacterium
Lineage: Bacteria
Description: bacterial SSU rRNA
Rfam family: Bacterial small subunit ribosomal RNA
Source: RNAcentral